GGGGAAUAUUGGACAAUGGGCGAAAGCCUGAUCCAGCCAUGCCGCGUGUGUGAAGAAGGCCCUCGGGUCGUAAAGCACUUUAAGUUGGGAGGAAGGGCUUACAGCGAAUACCUGUGAGUUUUGACGUUACCGACAGAAUAAGCACCGGCUAACUUCGUGCCAGCAGCCGCGGUAAUACGAAGGGUGCAAGCGUUAAUCGGAAUUACUGGGCGUAAAGCGCGCGUAGGUGGCUUGAUAAGUUGGAUGUGAAAUCCCCGGGCUCAACCUGGGAACUGCAUCCAAAACUGUCUGGCUAGAGUGUGGUAGAGGGUAGUGGAAUUUCCAGUGUAGCGGUGAAAUGCGUAGAUAUUGGAAGGAACACCAGUGGCGAAGGCGACUACCUGGACUAACACUGACACUGAGGUGCGAAAGCGUGGGGAGCAAAC
RNAcentral lists this ribosomal RNA (425 nucleotides) under uncultured bacterium. RNAcentral's name for it is "bacterial SSU rRNA". It matches the Rfam family "Bacterial small subunit ribosomal RNA", at positions 356 to 773 of the family's 1533-position model. The record is from RNAcentral.